GGCGGCGGCCGUUUCUCCCUGCCCGCGUCCCCGGCGGCAGCCUGAGCCUCGAAGGGGGUCCUUUUCCCCUUUAUAGCGGCCCGUGUUGUGGUACAGACAGUUGUUUUUCUUAGGCUGUGUUCCGUGGAGUACUUCUCCCCGCAGCCCGGGUUCACGGACGCGACGCAGUGUCCGAGGCCGCGACGCCGAAUGGAGGACGUCUGCGACCAGCGUCGAGGCCCGGGUUCGUGUCCGAACGGCGCUCGGCCGCCGCCUUUCCUGGUCGGCCAUUCGGUCACCUCGACCCGCUGUGGGCGCCUUGAAGGGGGCUGGGAACGGCCGUCGACCAGAGCCCGCUACAGCGAGGCCUUCCGCAGCCAUCCUGUGCACUCCGCGGAGGCUCCCAGGCAGGCAGGGGAGCGGCCUCGGUGCGCCCUGGAUGGUCUUUGUCGAGCGUGGAAGCUGAGACCGGCUAACCGUAGGCGGGCCUCCUAGGUUUAGGAUUGCUUGGAGGAGCAUUAUUUGGCUUUCUCCGGUUGGCCCUAAGUGGGACAGGGGCAAAAAAUAGGGAAGCUAGCAGUUAGUGACCCAAGGGCUGACUGUUUGGGCCCUCUUGCUGCAGAGGUUACGGGUCCGUUCCAUUACAUAUGGUCUGUUGUGUGUGCUGUUUCACUGCGUCGUGGGGUCAGAGCCUGAGGCCCGACAGCUGCUGACCCACCCCGACUCUCGAAGAAGGGAGACCGCAGGAACCUGCCCAGGCCGGCGGGAGCCUCUCUGGCUCUGCUCAAACCUCGACCCUAAACUCUGAGGUACCAUCAGCUUGGGCAGCAUCAGAAUGCUAAAUAGCCCCUCAACACCCCUCAGGAAAAUCAGGUGACAGAGGAGAAGGAGAGGGAGGAGAGGAGAAGACAUUCCUUGAUCAACGGUCCAAUGCCUGUUCUUUUUUUCUAGCAACUCCAUAAAAGCAAAGCCUUUUUCUGCCUGACCUUUGAGAAGCAGAUCUUGUGGCAUUCAAGGACUGCUUGUUGAGCAAGUGACCCAAAGCAUGUACAUCUCCCAGCUCUGCCACUUCUACUUCUGUCCCUUUGCACAACUUGCUGAGUUUCCUUCUGUUCACCCACAAAUCAGGAAGAAUACUGCUGGCCUGGCAAGGUUAUUGUGCGCCCUAAGAAGAUACUGAAACAAAGCAGGGGCUCUGACGGUGGUCCAGAUUGUUGGCUGUCAUUAAAUGCCAGCUUUGAAGAGUAAUAAGGGUGGUUGUUUCUGUGUUCUGUGAUCCGAGGCUCUGAGAAAAGCCAGGUCUCAGCUUGUGAACUGGGCCGUUUUCUCCAGCCUUCAGAUGACUCAUAAUUCUACCUCAUCCAUUUCUGUAAGUGCAGCUGCCUCUCCCCCAGAUGUUACAUUUGCAUCCUUUUCUAGCAGAUAACAGUCCUUGUCCCAAGCUCACAAAAAAAGUCCGAUCAUCCUACUCAUCCAGACUGUUAGACUUUUCCUACCUAACCAAUCUCCACAUUUCUGUAAGAACUGAGAUUCGUUCCAGUAGAAUCAAACCACUAGUUCCCUUUGGGUUGCCAACCCCAGGCACAGUGUCUGCCCCUAUAACCUCCAGCAGAUCCAGUGCUUCCCAUUGAGAUACACCAUCCCUUAUGGCACAGAUCAGCACCCAUUGGUAGAAACUUGCAAAUCAUGUAUACCCCAUGUUUUAGUUUGCUAUCAAUGCAGAAACAAAUUACCACAAAGUUAGUGGCUUGAAUACAGAUUUGUUAUUUUACCAUCCUGGAGGUCAGAAGUCUAUCACUGGGCUGAAAUCAAGAUGUCUCCAGGACUGUGUUCAUUCUGAAGGCACUAGAAAAUGAGUCCAUUUCCUUGCCGUUACCAGCCUUUAGAAGCCACUCGCAUUCCUUGGCUUAUAGCCCUGCAUCACUCCAAUCCCUGCUUUUGUUAUAUCUUCCUCUCUUACUCAUUCAUACCCUUCUGUCUCCCUCUUAUAAUGACCUUUGUGAUGACAUUGGGCCCAUGGGGAUAAUCCAGGAUGAUCUUCCUGUUUCAAAAUCGUAACAUAAUUGAUCACAUCUGCAAAGUCCCUCUGGCCAUGUGAAGCACCAUUUUCACAGGUUCUGGGGACCAGCAGUGGACACCUGUGGGGCUGUCACUGUGCCUCCCAUGAUCCCCCAGGAGAUUCAGAGACACUGAGCCCUGAUGGCAAACUCGUGAAUGUAAUGGUGGGUGCUGCUGAUAUGAAUUAUGUGUGGGUGGGAAAAGAUGGGAAACCACCAGCUUCAUAUAUUCGAAUCCUGCAUCAUCUCAUCCUACUUUAAGGGAAGUGGGAACUCUAACCUUCACUUCAGAGAUGAAUUUCUCUGGCCUUCUAAAGCAGUCACCUGGAUUUCAAAUUUGGUCCCUUUCAGUAAAUGACCCCAAACCUCAGGGUCCCUGGAUGAGCUGCUAGGCAAGCUCACCCUCAUCUGUUCACCCCGAGGGGAUGAUUUCUCCUCUCCUCAUUCACCACUCAACAUCAUGUGCCCUUGUCACAGUUUCAGCUGAUAACACCACUUCCGUUUCCCUGAGGAAACAGAAAACCCCAGCAUCCUUAAUGACCUCAUCUCAUGGAAGUUACACAGCUUGACUUCUGCCAACCCUAUGGAUGGAAGCAGUCACCAGCCCAGCCAGAUUCUAGGAAUGGAGGAAAGGCAAAGCAUUUGUAGCCGUAUCUGAAACCACCACAGAUGUGAAAGCAGUCAGCUCACCUCCUUCAGUGACCACCUUCUGGCAACAAAUCAGUGUAUGACGUUUCAGGAUGAACUGACCUCGUUUGAGGACAUGGCUGCGGCCUUCACUAGUGGGCAAUGGGCAUCAUUGUGAGGCCACUCCCAAGGUGAACAGACAUCCCUACAUCAUCAGGACUUGGAAAAGGAACUGAUGUUCUCCACUGAAAACUGCUCUGUCUCCCCUAGAAAGAUCUGCCAACUGUGUAGUGGGAGGGCAGCAGGCCCUGGUAAGUUCUUCAGCCCCUGUAUGUUUAAUCUCUCAAAGAAGUUAACAUGUGAAGAUGUUUAAAUGUGAUACAGCAGCCCUGUGCCCUGUGCCUGAUGCAUGAAGGGCAACAGGACAGCUGGUGUGCCAUCAACAUUCUCCAGGCACCUGGCCUCCUGGCCCCACUAGUCUGUCUCCAGGGGCUAUUCACUUCUGUAGAGAAAGGAGCGAGACACUCUCACUCCAGAAGGCAUGACUGUGCCUCACCCUUGUCAGCAUGAGCCCAAGGGCUCUUAAGAGGCGUGCUCAGCAGCAUUCAACCAAUAUCUGAUGAGCAUAAGUUCAAUAUCUGACCCAAGAGUUUUAGAACACGUUUUGAAAUAUUACGCACAACUCGAGAGCAGAGGUGAAGUUGUGGAGCAAGGGGUGGGAUGGGCUGCAGGUUACAGGCUGUGUGACCGGGAGAAAUGAUUUUAAUCUGUCCUUUCACGUAAAAAAAUGAAAU
Zalophus californianus (California sea lion) is the source of this 3457-nucleotide long non-coding RNA. RefSeq lists it as uncharacterized. The transcript has 3 exons. NCBI's taxonomy places the organism in Eukaryota, Metazoa, Chordata, Mammalia, Carnivora, Otariidae. The record is from RefSeq and is a predicted model, not a curated record.